CCUACGGGAGGCAGCAGUGGGGAAUAUUGCACAAUGGGGGAAACCCUGAUGCAGCGACGCCGCGUGAGUGAAGAAGUACUUCGUUACGUAAAGCCCUAUCAGCAGGGAAGAAAAUGACGGUACCUGAGUAAGAAGCCCCGGCUAACUACGUGCAAGCAGCCGCGGUAAUCCGUCGGGGGCCAGCGUUAUCCGGAUUUACUGGGUGUAAAGGGGGCGUAGACGGUGGGCCAGGUCUGGAGUGAAAUGCCGCAGCUUAACUGCGGAACUGCGUUGGAAACUGGCGAACUAGAGUGCGGGAGGGGUAAGCGGAAUUCGUGGUGUAGCGGUGAAAUGCUUAGAUAUCACGAAGAACCCCGAUUGCGAAGGUAGCCUGCCGCAGCGUUACUGACGCUGAAGCUCGAAAGCGCGGGUAUCGAACAGGAUUAGAUACCCUUGUAGUC
Molecule: ribosomal RNA, 440 nt
Filed under: uncultured bacterium
Lineage: Bacteria
Description: partial 16S ribosomal RNA
Rfam family: Bacterial small subunit ribosomal RNA
Source: RNAcentral